RNAcentral lists this long non-coding RNA (844 nucleotides) under Cricetulus griseus (Chinese hamster). RNAcentral describes it as "lncRNA (ENSCGRG00000026449.1)". Lineage: Eukaryota; Metazoa; Chordata; Mammalia; Rodentia; Cricetidae. The record is from RNAcentral.
ACCCACCCACAUCCAUGGCAGAUAACAAGCAGAGCCAGGACUCCAACCUCCUAGAGUCCAUCGCUGAGACACUGCUGAGUGGGCUGGACAGGAAGUGGGCACCACCAGUGGACUAGCAUGGAGGGUGAGGCGCAGCAGAGGGGACCAGCCAGCAGCCUGAGGCCACACUGGGGCAAAGAUGGGGCAUCUCUGGACCUGCUCUCCAAUGUUGAUCCACCAAUGUCAGGCCAGAAGCAGUUGUACAGUCAACACAGCAUGUGAUUUCAGAGAAGGUAAAAGGUCUAAGCUCACUUCUGGGUGUGAAAACCCAUCAAUCCUGCACUUGAUCCAAGCUCAAGACUUGAAAUCCCCAUCCUGGAAAUCUCCACCCUAGAAAAUUCUGUCCUCAAGAAACCCUAUAUAAAGCCUGCCUCCCACUCAGUUCACUGCUGCUUCCCACCCAAGCAGAGGUAGCCACCCUCUUAUGUCUUUCUCAAUAAAUCUCUUGUGUGAGGUUUGUUGUAUGGUGUGACUUUGUGGUAUUCCUUGGCUCCCAACUGCCAGGAUGCCUUUCCCCUCCGAGCUGCACUUUUACUGGGGAAACUUUUCCUCUCAGAGUUGUAACACUUACAAUGUGUUUUGCCAGCAUGUAUUUAUGUGUACUAUAAGUGUGCCUGGUGCCUAAGGAGGUGAGAAGACAUCAAAUCCCUUGGAACUGAACAUUGUUGUGAGUCACUGUGUCAGUGCUGGGAGAAGAACCUGGGUCCUCUGGAAGAGCAGCAAGUGCUCUUAUCUACUGAGCCAUCUCUCUAGCCCCUGUGAACCUAAUUUUUGUUAUAGCAUGUUUUCUCUACUAUGCAUGACG